UACCAGGUCAAGACAUGGGCGUGAUUGACAGGCUAAUGACUUUUCUCGAUUCCAUGGAUGGUGGUGCAUGGUCGCACUUAGUUGGUGCAGUGAUUUGUCAGGUUUAUUCCGGUAACGAACGAGACCUCGGCCUUGUAAAUAGCUAUGCUGCUUACAGGGACAUUGGCGGCUACGCCAAGGAAGCUCGAGGCAAUUGCAGAUCUGGAAUGCCCUUAGAUGUCCUGGGUCGCACGCGUGCUACAAUGACGCCACGAACGAGCUUGCGUGAUGAAAGUUACGCAUAAUCAGCAGUCGGCGUCUUAAGGGAUAGUCUCUUGUAACUGUGGGACUCCAACUAGGAAUGUCUCGUAAGCACAAGUCAACAUCUUGUGUUGAUUACGUCCCUGCUCUUUGUACACACCGCCCGUCGCUCCUACCGAUCGAGUGUUUAGGUGAAAUUUGAUGGACGUAAAGGAAAGUCAAAUAAACCUGAGCACUAGAGGAAGGAGAAGUCGACAUUC
RNAcentral lists this ribosomal RNA (500 nucleotides) under uncultured Myrionecta. RNAcentral describes it as "bacterial SSU rRNA". It matches the Rfam family "Eukaryotic small subunit ribosomal RNA", at positions 1216 to 1797 of the family's 1831-position model. Lineage: Eukaryota; Ciliophora; Litostomatea; Cyclotrichida; Mesodiniidae. The record is from RNAcentral.